GGUCCAGACUCCUACGGGAGGCAGCAGUGGGGAAUAUUGCACAAUGGGCGCAAGCCUGAUGCAGCCAUGCCGCGUGUAUGAAGAGGGCCUUCGGGUUGUAAAUUACUUUCAGCGGGGAGGAAGGGGUUAAGGUUAAUAACCUUAGCCAUUGACGUUACCCGCAGAAGAAGCACCGUCUAACUCCGUGCCAGCAGCCGCGGUAAUACGGAGGGUGCAAGCGUUAAUCGGAAUUACUGGGCGUAAAGCGCACGCAGGCGGUCUGUCAAGUCGGAUGUGAAAUCCCCGGGCUCAACCUGGGAACUGCAUUCGAAACUGGCAGGCUGGAGUCUUGUAGAGGGGGGUAGAAUUCCAGGUGUAGCGGUGAAAUGCGUAGAGAUCUGGAGGAAUACCGGUGGCGAAGGCGGCCCCCUGGACAAAGACUGACGCUCAGGUGCGAAAGCGUGGGGAGCAAACAGGAUUAGAUACCCGCGUAAG
RNAcentral lists this ribosomal RNA (474 nucleotides) under uncultured bacterium. Its description in RNAcentral is "bacterial SSU rRNA". It matches the Rfam family "Bacterial small subunit ribosomal RNA", at positions 328 to 793 of the family's 1533-position model. The record is from RNAcentral.